RNAcentral lists this ribosomal RNA (462 nucleotides) under uncultured bacterium. Its description in RNAcentral is "partial 16S ribosomal RNA". It matches the Rfam family "Bacterial small subunit ribosomal RNA", at positions 28 to 507 of the family's 1533-position model. The record is from RNAcentral.
GACGAAUGCUGGCGGCGUGCUUAACACAUGCAAGUCGAGCGGUAAGGCCUUUCGGGGUACACGAGCGGCGAACGGGUGAGUAACACGUGGGUGAUCUGCCCUGCACUUCGGGAUAAGCCUGGGAAACUGGGUCUAAUACCGGAUAUGACCUCCUAUCGCAUGGUGGGUGGUGGAAAGAUUUAUCGGUGCAGGAUGGGCCCGCGGCCUAUCAGCUUGUUGGUGGGGUAAUGGCCUACCAAGGCGACGACGGGUAGCCGACCUGAGAGGGUGACCGGCCACACUGGGACUGAGACACGGCCCAGACUCCUACGGGAGGCAGCAGUGGGGAAUAUUGCACAAUGGGCGAAAGCCUGAUGCAGCGACGCCGCGUGAGGGAUGACGGCCUUCGGGUUGUAAACCUCUUUCAGCAGGGACGAAGCGCAAGUGACGGUACCUGCAGAAGAAGCACCGGCUAACUACGUG